AAUAUAUAAGGGGGUAUCGAUAUACGUGAUAUGUAUAUGCGAUAUAUUGUUUAGUGACUAUAGUAUUAUCUUUUUCUCGUAAAGGAUUUGGACGAGACGUGUAUGCUCGAAAACGUCAGGAAGUCGAAAUGGUAUUGCAAAAUGAAUAAGGGAUGAAUCGAGUAAGCGAAGCGAUGUGGCGAAUAGAGUAUGGCUAGAGAUGGUCUAAAAAUUAUGAUAUGAAUAGAUUGUGAAAGUGGAAAGAUGAGGUUGAGCUAUGAGACUGGAGUCAGAUUUAAGAAAGGCUUAAAGAUGAGAUGAUUGAUUGAGAUUGUGAAUAAGGCUAAUGCUAGGCGAGGAGACAGAGUUGAGGAUCCAGUGGUCGAGGAGUGUUCAGGAAAGUUGAUGAGGUUGGUGCAAGCUAGAGCUGUGCUAUAGGGAUUCAAGUGUAAGUCAUAGCUGGAAUAGUUGACAGUGAUUCUUCUUAUCGAAGAUGAUCUGAUUUGGUAAGAAAUGUUGUGUAAUAUUAGCGGUGGAUUCUAAUUUCAAUACUGUAACCUGGA
Long non-coding RNA from Daucus carota subsp. sativus, 542 nucleotides. RefSeq lists it as uncharacterized. The record is from RefSeq and is a predicted model, not a curated record. Lineage: Eukaryota; Viridiplantae; Streptophyta; Magnoliopsida; Apiales; Apiaceae. The transcript has 2 exons.